GGUUAAGCGACUAAGCGUACACGGUGGAUGCCCUGGCAGUCAGAGGCGAUGAAGGACGUGCUAAUCUGCGAAAAGCGUCGGUAAGGUGAUAUGAACCGUUAUAACCGGCGAUGUCCGAAUGGGGAAACCCAGUGCAAUUCGUUGCACUAUCGUUAACUGAAUACAUAGGUUAACGAGGCGAACCGGGGAACUGAAACAUCUAAGUACCCCGAGGAAAAGAAAUCAACCGAGAUUCCCCAGUAGCGGCGAGCGAACGGGGAGCAGCCCAGAGUCUGAAUCAGCUUGUGUGUUAGUGGAACGGUCUGGAAAGUCCGACGGUACAGGGUGAUAGUCCCGUACACCAAAAUGCACAGGCUGUGAACUCGAAGAGUAGGGCGGGACACGUGGUAUCCUGUCUGAAUAUGGGGACCAUCCUCCAAGGCUAAAUACUCCUGACUGACCGAUAGUGAACCAGUACCGUGAGGGAAAGGCGAAAAGAACCCCGGCGAGGGAGUGAAAAAGAACCUGAAACCGUGUACGUACAAGCAGUGGGAGCACCUUCGGGUGUGACUGCGUACCUUUGUAUAAUGGGUCAGCGACUUAUAUUCUGUAGCAAGGUUAACCGUAUAGGGAGCCGCAGGAAACCGAGUCUUAACUGGGCGUUAAGUUGCAGGGUAUAGACCCGAAACCCGGUGAUCUAGCCAUGGGCAGGUUGAAGGUUGGGUAACACUAACUGGAGGACCGAACCGACUAAUGUUGAAAAAUUAGCGGAUGACUUGUGGCUGGGGUGAAAGGCCAAUCAAACCGGGAGAUAGCUGGUUCUCCCGAAAGCUAUUUAGGUAGCGCCUCGUGAAUUCAUCUUCGGGGUAGAGCACUGUUUCGGCUAGGGGUCAUCCCGACUUACCAACCCGAUGCAAACUACGAAUACCGAAGAAUGUUAUCACGGGAGACACACGGCGGGUGCUAACGUCCGUCGUGAAGAGAAACAACCCAGACCGCCAGCUAAGGUCCCAAAGUCAUGGUUAAGUGGGAAACGAUGUGGGAAGGCACAGACAGCCAGGAUGUUGGCUUAGAAGCAGCCAUCAUUUAAAGAAAGCGUAAUAGCUCACUGGUCGAGUCGGCCUGCGCGGAAGAUGUAACGGGGCUAAACCAUGCACCGAAGCUGCGGCAGCGACACUAUGUGUUGUUGGGUAGGGAGCGUUCUGUAAGCCUGCGAAGGUGACCUGUGAGGGUUGCUGGAGGUAUCAGAAGUGCGAAUGCUGACAUAAGUAACGAUAAAGCGGGUGAAAAGCCCGCUCGCCGGAAGACCAAGGGUUCCUGUCCAACGUUAAUCGGGGCAGGGUGAGUCGACCCCUAAGGCGAGGCCGAAAGGCGUAGUCGAUGGGAAACAGGUUAAUAUUCCUGUACUUGGUGUUACUGCGAAGGGGGACGGAGAAGGCUAUGUUAGCCGGGCGACGGUUGUCCCGGUUUAAGCAUGUAGGCUGGUUAUCCAGGCAAAUCCGGAUAAUCAAGGCUGAGGUGUGAUGACGAGGCACUACGGUGCUGAAGUAACAAAUGCCCUGCUUCCAGGAAAAGCCUCUAAGCAUCAGGUAACAUCAAAUCGUACCCCAAACCGACACAGGUGGUCAGGUAGAGAAUACCAAGGCGCUUGAGAGAACUCGGGUGAAGGAACUAGGCAAAAUGGUGCCGUAACUUCGGGAGAAGGCACGCUGGUGUGUAGGUGAAGUCCCUGCGGAUGGAGCUGAGACCAGUCGAAGAUACCAGCUGGCUGCAACUGUUUAUUAAAAACACAGCACUGUGCAAACACGAAAGUGGACGUAUACGGUGUGACGCCUGCCCGGUGCCGGAAGGUUAAUUGAUGGGGUUAUCCGUAAGGAGAAGCUCUUGAUCGAAGCCCCGGUAAACGGCGGCCGUAACUAUAACGGUCCUAAGGUAGCGAAAUUCCUUGUCGGGUAAGUUCCGACCUGCACGAAUGGCGUAAUGAUGGCCAGGCUGUCUCCACCCGAGACUCAGUGAAAUUGAACUCGCUGUGAAGAUGCAGUGUACCCGCGGCAAGACGGAAAGACCCCGUGAACCUUUACUAUAGCUUGACACUGAACAUUGAGCCUUGAUGUGUAGGAUAGGUGGGAGGCUUUGAAGCGUGGACGCCAGUCUGCGUGGAGCCAACCUUGAAAUACCACCCUUUAAUGUUUGAUGUUCUAACGUUGGCCCCUUACCGGGGUUGCGGACAGUGUCUGGUGGGUAGUUUGACUGGGGCGGUCUCCUCCCAAAGCGUAACGGAGGAGCACGAAGGUUAGCUAAUCCUGGUCGGACAUCAGGAGGUUAGUGCAAUGGCAUAAGCUAGCUUGACUGCGAGCGUGACGGCGCGAGCAGGUGCGAAAGCAGGUCAUAGUGAUCCGGUGGUUCUGAAUGGAAGGGCCAUCGCUCAACGGAUAAAAGGUACUCCGGGGAUAACAGGCUGAUACCGCCCAAGAGUUCAUAUCGACGGCGGUGUUUGGCACCUCGAUGUCGGCUCAUCACAUCCUGGGGCUGAAGUAGGUCCCAAGGGUAUGGCUGUUCGCCAUUUAAAGUGGUACGCGAGCUGGGUUUAGAACGUCGUGAGACAGUUCGGUCCCUAUCUGCCGUGGGCGCUGGAGAAUUGAGGGGCUGCUCCUAGUACGAGAGGACCGGAGUGGACGCAUCACUGGUGUUCGGGUUGUCAUGCCAAUGGCACUGCCCGGUAGCUAAAUGCGGAAGAGAUAAGUGCUGAAAGCAUCUAAGCACGAAACUUGCCCCGAGAUGAGUUCUCCUGAGACUUUAAGUCUCCUGAAGGAACGUUGAAGACGACGACGUUGAUAGGCCGGGUGUGUAAGCGCAGCGAUGCGUUGAGCUAACCGGUACUAAUGAACCGUGAGGCUUAACCUU
RNAcentral lists this ribosomal RNA (2883 nucleotides) under Klebsiella pneumoniae. RNAcentral describes it as "23S ribosomal RNA". It matches the Rfam family "Bacterial large subunit ribosomal RNA". Lineage: Bacteria; Pseudomonadati; Pseudomonadota; Gammaproteobacteria; Enterobacterales; Enterobacteriaceae. The record is from RNAcentral.